Molecule: ribosomal RNA, 478 nt
Filed under: uncultured bacterium
Lineage: Bacteria
Description: partial 16S ribosomal RNA
Rfam family: Bacterial small subunit ribosomal RNA
Source: RNAcentral
GACGAACGCUGGCGGCGUGCUUAACACAUGCAAGUCGAACGGUAAGGCCCUUCGGGGUACACGAGUGGCGAACGGGUGAGUAACACGUGGGUGACCUGCCCUGCACUUCGGGAUAAGCCUGGGAAACUGGGUCUAAUACCGGAUAGGACCACUGCCUGCAUGGGUGGUGGUGGAAAGCUUUUGCGGUGUGGGAUGGGCCCGCGGCCUAUCAGCUUGUUGGUGGGGUGAUGGCCUACCAAGGCGACGACGGGUAGCCGGCCUGAGAGGGUGACCGGCAACACUAGGACUGAGAUACGGCCCAGACUCCUACGGGAGGCAGCAGUGGGGAAUAUUGCACAAUGGGCGCAAGCCUGAUGCAGCGACGCCGCGUGAGGGAUGACGGCCUUCGGGUUGUAAACCUCUUUCAGCACCGACGAAGCGCAAGUGACGGUAGGUGCAGAAGAAGGACCGGCCAACUACGUGCCAGCAGCCGCGGUAA